This 269-nucleotide ribosomal RNA is filed under the name uncultured archaeon. RNAcentral's name for it is "partial 16S ribosomal RNA". It matches the Rfam family "Archaeal small subunit ribosomal RNA", at positions 477 to 747 of the family's 1478-position model. The record is from RNAcentral.
CAGCACCUCAAGUGGUCAGGAUGAUUAUUGGGCCUAAAGCAUCCGUAGCCGGCGCUGUAAGUUUUCGGUUAAAUCUGUACGCUAACGUACAGGCUGCCGGGAAUACUGCAGCGCUAGGGAGUGGGAGAGGUAGACGGUACUCGGUAGGAAGGGGUAAAAUCCUUUGAUCUAUUGAUGACCACCUGUGGCGAAGGCGGUCUACCAGAACACGUCCGACGGUGAGGGAUGAAAGCUGGGGGAGCAAACCGGAUUAGAUACCCGAGUAGUCC